RNAcentral lists this ribosomal RNA (944 nucleotides) under uncultured bacterium. RNAcentral describes it as "bacterial SSU rRNA". The stretch from base 2 to 779 matches the Rfam family "Bacterial small subunit ribosomal RNA", at positions 9 to 873 of the family's 1533-position model. The record is from RNAcentral.
AGAGUUUGAUCCUGGCUCAGAACAAACGCUGGCGGCGUGCCUAACACAUGCAAGUCGUACGUGAAAGUUCCGCAAGGAACGAGUAAAGUGGCGAACGGGUGAGUAAUACAUAGGUAAUCUACUUAUAAGUUCGGGAUAACAUUUCGAAAGGAUUGCUAAUACCGGAUAAUGUGCUUAGUCAAAAGAUUAAGCACCAAAGGUGGCCUCUUCACAAUGCUAUCGAUUAUAAAUGAGCCUAUGGACCAUUAGUUAGUUGGCAGGGUAAUAGCCUACCAAGACAAAGAUGGUUAGCUGGUCUGAGAGGAUGACCAGCCACACUGGAACUGAAACACGGUCCAGACUCCUACGGGAGGCACCAUUGGGGAAUAUUGCGCAUUGGGGGAAACCCUGACGCAGCAUCGCCUUGUGAGCGAUNAANGCCUUCGGGUUGUAAAGCUCUGUUAAAUAAAAAGAACUCCCAUAUUCUAAUACAAUAUGGGAUUGACGGUNUUAUUAGAGAANCACCGGCAAAUCCGUGCCAGCAGCCGCGGUNAGACNGAGGGUGCAAGCUUUGUUCGGAAUUACUGGGCUGUAAAGGGCGUGUAGGCGUCUAAUAAGUUAGGUGUGAGAUCUUCAGGCUCACCUGAAGAGUGCACUUAAGACUGCUAACUAGAGGUGGCAGGGACAGCGAAUUCCAGUGUAGAGGUAAAUUCUAAAUUUAAGAAGACACCGGCGCAAGGCGCUUCCGACAUUCUACCUAAACCGAAAGCUGCGAGCAACGGAUAAUCCUGGAUCCCGCUUACCAUAACUAAUAUGGAGACUUCUUCUUGCUCAGCUACCGUAGGUCGCGGGAGUACGUCAGAUAACUCAGAUGACGGCCCAGCGGACGGUAUCACACGAACUACGGUGAUCUACUAAUACUCGAAGUCGUCUGAUGUCGCUUCUAUCUGUCUAAGAGCUCUGAG